This 301-nucleotide ribosomal RNA is filed under the name uncultured bacterium. RNAcentral describes it as "partial 16S ribosomal RNA". It matches the Rfam family "Bacterial small subunit ribosomal RNA", at positions 509 to 807 of the family's 1533-position model. The record is from RNAcentral.
CAGCCGCCACGGGAAUACGUAGGGUGCGAGCGUUAAUCGGAAUUACUGGGCGUAAAGCGUGCGCAGGCGGUUAUGUAAGACAGGUGUGAAAUCCCCGGGCUUAACCUGGGAACUGCGCUUGUGACUGCACAGCUAGAGUAUGGCAGAGGGGGGUGGAAUUCCACGUGUAGCAGUGAAAUGCGUAGAGAUGUGGAGGAACACCGAUGGCGAAGGCAGCCCCCUGGGCCAAUACUGACGCUCAUGCACGAAAGCGUGGGGAGCAAACAGGAUUAGAUACCCCCGUAGUCCCUGUCUCUUAUAC